GAACGGCUGGAGAACCCAGAGGAGAGGUUUGAGAACGGCUGGAGAACCCAGAGGAGAGGUUUGAGAACGGCUGGAGGUCCCAGAGGAGAGGUUUGAGAACGGCUGGAGAACCCAGAGGAGUGGUUUGAGAACGGCUGGAGAACCCAGAGGAGAGGUUUGAGAACGGCUGGAGGUCCCAGAGGAGAGGUUUGUGAAUGGCUGGAGGUCCCAGAGGAGAGGUUUGUGAAUGGCUGGAGGUCCCGGGGGAGAGGUUUGAGAACGGCUGGAGGUCUCGGAGGAGAGUUUUGGAACGGCUGGAGAACCCGGAGGAGAGGUUUGGAAAAGGCUGAGCUAUAUGUUUGCCAAACAACUUUACAUGUCUGUUUCACACACAGGAAGGUAUUGCAGUUGAAUCACA
Oncorhynchus tshawytscha (Chinook salmon) is the source of this 397-nucleotide long non-coding RNA. The record is from Ensembl. Lineage: Eukaryota; Metazoa; Chordata; Actinopteri; Salmoniformes; Salmonidae.